This 441-nucleotide ribosomal RNA is filed under the name uncultured bacterium. Its description in RNAcentral is "partial 16S ribosomal RNA". It matches the Rfam family "Bacterial small subunit ribosomal RNA", at positions 338 to 795 of the family's 1533-position model. The record is from RNAcentral.
CCUACGUGUGGCAGCAGUGGGGAAUAUUGCACAAUGGGGGAAACCCUGAUGCAGCGACGCCGCGUGAGUGAAGAAGUAUUUCGGUAUGUAAAGCUCUAUCAGCAGGGAAGAAGAAAGACGGUACCUGACUAAGAAGCGCCGGCUAACUACGUGCGAGCAGCCGCGGUAAUAAGUAGGGUGCAAGCGUUAUCCGGAUUUACUGGGUGUAACGGGAACGUAGACGGCUGUGCAAGUCUGCAGUGAAAGCCCAAGGCUCAACCCUGGGACUGCUUUGGAAACUGUGGAGCUAGAUUGAUGGUGAGGUAAGGGGAAUUCCUAGGGUAGCGGUGAAAGGCUUAGAUAGUAGGAGGAACACCAGUGGCGAAGGCGGCUUACUGGACAGUAACUGACGUUGAGGAUCGAAAGCGUGGGGAGCAAACAGGAUUAGAUACCCGGGUAGUC